This 537-nucleotide ribosomal RNA is filed under the name uncultured bacterium. RNAcentral's name for it is "bacterial SSU rRNA". It matches the Rfam family "Bacterial small subunit ribosomal RNA", at positions 102 to 674 of the family's 1533-position model. The record is from RNAcentral.
ACGGGUGAGUAACGCGUGGGAAUCUACCCAACCCUACGGAAUAACGCAUGGAAACGUGUGCUAAUACCGUAUACGCCCUACGGGGGAAAGAUUUAUCGGGGAUGGAUGAGCCCGCGUUGGAUUAGCUAGUUGGUGGGGUAAAGGCCUACCAAGGCGACGAUCCAUAGCUGGUCUGAGAGGAUGAUCAGCCACAUUGGGACUGAGACACGGCCCAAACUCCUACGGGAGGCAGCAGUGGGGAAUAUUGGACAAUGGGCGCAAGCCUGAUCCAGCCAUGCCGCGUGAGUGAUGAAGGCCUUAGGGUUGUAAAGCUCUUUCAACGGUGAAGAUAAUGACGGUAACCGUAGAAGAAGCCCCGGCUAACUUCGUGCCAGCAGCCGCGGUAAUACGAAGGGGGCUAGCGUUGUUCGGAAUUACUGGGCGUAAAGCGCACGUAGGCGGACUUUUAAGUCAGGGGUGAAAUCCCAGGGCUCAACCCUGGAACUGCCUUUGAUACUGGAAGUCUGGAGUAUGGAAGAGGUGAGUGGAAUUCCGAGU